AUUGAACGCUGGCGGCAGGCCUAACACAUGCAAGUCGGACGAGCGGCGGACGGGUGAGUAAUGUAUGGGGACCUGCCUGAUGGCGGGGGAUAACUACUGGAAAGGGUAGCUAAUACCGCAUACCAUCGGAGCGACCCAUAUGGGAUUAGCUUGUGGGUGAGGUAACGGCUCACCUAGGCGACGAUCCCUAGCUGGUCUGAGAGGAUGAUCGGCCACACUGGGACUGAGACACGGCCCAGACGCCUACGGGAGGCAGCAGUGGGGAAUAUUGCACAAUGGGCGCAAGCCUGAUGCAGCCAUGCCGCGUGUAUGAAGAAGGUUUUCGGGUUGUAAAGUACUUUCAGUCGGGAGGCGUUACCGACAGAAGAAGCCCCGGCUAACUCCGUGCCAGCCGCCGCGGUAAUUC
Molecule: ribosomal RNA, 406 nt
Filed under: uncultured bacterium
Lineage: Bacteria
Description: partial 16S ribosomal RNA
Rfam family: Bacterial small subunit ribosomal RNA
Source: RNAcentral